This 254-nucleotide ribosomal RNA is filed under the name uncultured bacterium. RNAcentral describes it as "partial 16S ribosomal RNA". It matches the Rfam family "Bacterial small subunit ribosomal RNA", at positions 795 to 1052 of the family's 1533-position model. The record is from RNAcentral.
CCACGCAGUAAACGAUGAUUACUGGGCGUAUGCGAUAUACAGUAUGCUCCUGAGCGAAAGCGUUAAGUAAUCCACCUGGGGAGUACGCCGGCAACGGUGAAACUCAAAGGAAUUGACGGGGGCCCGCACAAGCGGAGGAACAUGUGGUUUAAUUCGAUGAUACGCGAGGAACCUUACCCGGGAUUGAAAUGUAGAUGCCGACAGAUGAAAGUUUGUUUUCCUUCGGGACAUCUAUGUAGGUGCUGCAUGGUUGU